This 211-nucleotide ribosomal RNA is filed under the name uncultured bacterium. RNAcentral's name for it is "partial 16S ribosomal RNA". It matches the Rfam family "Bacterial small subunit ribosomal RNA", at positions 524 to 734 of the family's 1533-position model. The record is from RNAcentral.
UACGAAGGGUGCAAGCGUUACUCGGAAUUACUGGGCGUAAAGCGUGCGUAGGUGGUUUGUUAAGUCUGUUGUGAAAGCCCCGGGCUCAACCUGGGAAUGGCAAUGGAUACUGGCAGGCUAGAGUGCGGUAGAGGUAGUGGAAUUCCCGGUGUAGCGGUGAAAUGCGUAGAGAUCGGGAGGAACACCAGUGGCGAAGGCGGCUCUCUAGUAC